UUAGGUAUAGAUUUGAAAGGAAGGAAAUGAAUUCAAUGUCAGCCUUGUUCUUUUGGCCGGUGGAAAGUUUGUUUCUAACAUCAUUACAAAGUGAAGUCACCUUUGUUCAACAACUUACUGAUUGGCUGCUUAAUAUCUUUGUUUAGUCUCUAUGUUUUUGUAUCUCACUUCUACCCUCCUUGAUAUAAUUAUCUCUCUUUUUAUCCUUCCCUGUAAGGUCUUGCCCUUAUCUAAAGGUAUAAUUGCUGCACCCCCAUGGGGCUCUCACAGCGCACCUAGCUUUUUAGCCGUCGGAUCUUCAUGUCCUGGUCAAUCUGGUCCGUUGAUUGUUGGCUCACAGCUGCUAGAGAAAUCCAUGCAAUAGACAUGUCCUACCCGUCUGAGGCUGGUCGUGGGUCUCACCAGUGUCUGGGCCCGCCCGUCAGUAUGGUAGGUGAGGUUGGCUUCGGUGCACGAAGACUGGGCCGGACAAAAAAAUCCCCCCGUAGUGAGACAAAAAGGCCUUCUCGUCCAAUCCCCAUCAAACCCUAGCCGCCGCCCCCAAUCCGCUCGUGAGCGAAUCGCCUCGCGACCCUCCCCUUCCCGCACGUCUCAUCUCUCACAUCGCCGCCGGCUCGCCUAUCCCUGCUCCUCUCCGGCGGUUUUGGAGCCGCCGAGGCCGCAGCUGGUCCUCCUCUCCACCCUCUUCUUCGCUUCGGCUGCAGUCGGCGCAUGGAAGGGCGGUACCGGUCGCUGGAGCUCCGAUGGCAGUGGUGCGUGGCGAGAGGAUGACCAGCCGGGCAGCGGACCGAGAGGACGACCAGCAAGCAGCCGGCGGCCGCGGUGGCGGGCUGAAGAAGGCGGCGCUCGGUGCACCAAGUGCGUCUCUCUCCUUCCUCUCUCUCUCUCUCACUCUCUCAUGGCUUGCCCUGUAGGACUGAGGAUAAGGGCACAAAGGGGCUGGAGCAGGUGGCCGGUCCUGCUAUUCCUGGCUGGGGAGGAUAAGGGGGAGGAAGGCAUAAAGGGGUGGGAGCAGGCUCCCGCGCACACAGCCAUGGCGGCUCUUACCGCCGCCGAGCGACUCCGGCGACCAACACCCGGCGUGACGCUCACGACCAGCAUCCUGAGCCAGCUCCUUGGCGUGGCUCCUCCCGUCACUGCUGCUGCUCCUCUAUGGCAAGCAACCUUGUGCAGCUCCUCCUCCUCCUCCUCAAGCAUUUCAGAUUUUAGUUCCUGUAGUUUUUAGCUUUACACCUGCACAUCACCUGUUCGAUUAAGUGCCAUUGAGAAGAAAUCAGGUGGAUUCCUGUAGUUUUUUCAGAUCUAACAACGCAGGUGAUUUUGGGAUUUGCUAAAGUAUCACGCCUUGGAGAUGAGGAGUGUGCUGCACGGUGCAGCAGGUGUGGAUGCAGCGACCACAUGCUUGGCUUGGGGAGCAGCGUGCACAUAAUAAAGUCAUAAACAUCGGCCUAUGUCAAGAUGCCAAUACAGUACCUGACCACCUCCUACAACUGGUUGUACAACUAUGGCAAAUGCAGGUCUAGACUCUGAAUCUUCGCAGAGAAAAUAAGAGUAUAUGAUGACCUACAGGCCUGGAUAGCAAGUUAUAGGAGGCUAUUAAAAGUGCUUUCACUUGAUGAAAACGGGAACCAAGUACAGAAACAAUGAACAAAAUGUACCAGGAACUGCUUUAUAAUCUCCAAACAACAUAUAUGACUUGCUUCGUGUGUGGGCAGAACAAGUUUCUACUCUUUCAUGGAAUGUGCGCUGCUGUUCAAAGUGUGCGCUUUUUUCCAGAUACAAGCUCAAGGUUGAUAUAUAAUCUCUACCGAUAUGCAUGCUCACUUCGUUCAUCACUUCUAUUGGUUGAUUUUUUUUUUUUGGAGGAUGGUGGUAUACAUAAUUGGUGAGACCCCCCAUAAGGCUCCUCUGAUCUCAGCACAUGAUGGCCCUCUGGUUGAGCUCCCAGUAGAUCCCAGCCAUCGUUUCACCGUGUGGAUCCGAGGAUGGUGGUAUACAUAAUUGGUGAGACCCCCCAUAAGGCUCCUCCGAUCUCAGCACAUGAUGGCCUUCUGGUUGAGCUCCCAGUAGAUCCCAGCCAUCGUUUCACCGCGUGGAUCCGAGCCAACGCUUCUCCUCCGAGUUGUGGCUGUAUGUCGGUGCCUCGCCAUGUAACAUGCCAGAGAUAAGAAGACGCCGGUGUGAGUUGGUGACAGUGGAGGCUCAGGAGGAGCGUCAACCGCUGCUCUGCCAGGAGGAGAUGGUCAAGAGGAGCGUGUUGUUGCCAUCACCUGUAGGAGCACCGAGUGCCAGCCGCUGCUCCUACGAAGGAGUGAUGUCACCAUCGCUGUCGACAAAAAUUGAGGUUCCUCUCUAUAUAUGGAGGAGGAGGAGGGCUGUGUGCAUCGUCACGAUGCAGAAGCCGGGGCAUACCCCCAUUUCGAAAAAAAAUAUAUGGAGGAGGAUUCGAAAGGGUUACGUAAUGGUGGGCUUCCAUUUUCUUGGCACCAAGAAGCAUUGAGGAAACCUCAUGCAUCUACUGCUCGUUGCAUUGGCUAUAUUGAUCUACCAACCGGUUCAGAUGACAAGGGAAUGUUGUGGUUCAGGAAAGCAUAUUACCUUGGUCGCACUGGUUAAUAUGACAAUGGAACGUGUCCGGCACAUGAUCAAGAACCAUGAAGAUGCGACUACAGUUUAUCUCAAUUGCGGCCAUUUUUUCAACUCCUUACAACGGCAUGUUGCCAACAUCUGGCAUCUUUGCGGAUUCUGGACUGUAUGGUCGCAGCUCUCGACAAGGAUCUUAUCUAUAUGAUUUAUUUACCUUACCGUCGUGGAUGUCGACGCCACGAGCUUUGUUUCUCUCUCCCCCUCUCUCUUGCAGUCUCCAUAAAUUAAUUUUGCAAUGUAUUGUUGUCUCUUAUAAGGACUAGACACAUAUUUCUUUCGAUUUGUAUUAUAGUGUAUAUUAAGAUUAUUAACAUGUGUUUUUACGGUUAGCAACACACAAUCUUUUCAAGAACCAGGAUGCAUGGUUCAGUUUGUUACUCUGUUUUUAUAAGAGGAUUUUGUGGAUCUCUUACUAAUGUAUAUAGAAAGAUAAUAUGAUGCACCAGAUGUAUUGCAAGCAACAAUAUUAACUUGAUGUUAACAUUACAAUGUAGUAAUUGUAUGGUUUAAAUUGCCAUCAUAGGUUCUUACCAUUCCUCCAUUUCCCCAUAGACCUUUUUGAUUAUAAUAUCCUUCCCUAUGUAGUGCUAAAUAUGGUGUUUUAGAAACCAUCUGGCUUGGCAAGUUAUUUGUAAUUAUAUUUCUUUACUUUGAGGCUUCUAAAUGAUCUGGUGCAAGCAAUAAAUAUUAUUCCAGUUUGAUGUUUGGCAAGUUAUUUGUAAUUAUAUUUCUUUACUUCGAGGCUUCUAAACGCUUACAGGAGUGGCCGCAUCAUAUGGGGUGGAAGCAAAGAAAGAGAUAUGUGGUGUUGCCAGAUACGCUUGAAUUGCCAUGACCAGAUCAAAGCAAGAACAAUGAUAAACAAAAUAAUUGAAUGUAUAAGCUGAGGAAGAGCCAGGAUAAGACCAUGAGCAUGGGCAAGGUGGAAUUGCGCCAUCGCUAUGUUCUUCGACCACAUCGCGCAAGCAGCGUCGACGGGUUCAGCUGCCUCAGGGCUUGCAGCGAUGGGGCAGCACUGCCGUUUAAAGGUGGGCCUCCGGGUAAUUUGGGGACGGGGAUGGUGGAGAUAGGAAGGCGGGCUGCCCGGCAUCAUGGCUAUUGGUCGGACUGAGUGAGAAGGUGUGAGAGAGAAGACAUCCAUGGAUCCACUCAGACUAGAUUGUGGGCCGACCGCUACCACAGCGGUGAAUGGAAUGUGCCUCUUUGUAAUCGUGUUGUUUUGAUAAUCAGCUGUUUGUACUUUUGAAACAUAUAAACCGACUAUUCUACAUGGGAGCUUUUGUUUUGUAGAAUAAGCAAAGGGUCUACAAAAAAAUUCUAACACGAGUUUGAGCUUUGCUUAUUUUAAAAUGUAAAUUUACACGAAUUUUACGGGAUCGUGCGCCAAGGCGCACAUCUAAA
Lolium perenne is the source of this 4047-nucleotide long non-coding RNA. RefSeq lists it as uncharacterized. The record is from RefSeq and is a predicted model, not a curated record. Lineage: Eukaryota; Viridiplantae; Streptophyta; Magnoliopsida; Poales; Poaceae.